This 755-nucleotide unclassified non-coding RNA is filed under the name Hevea brasiliensis (rubber tree). Lineage: Eukaryota; Viridiplantae; Streptophyta; Magnoliopsida; Malpighiales; Euphorbiaceae. The record is from RNAcentral.
GCCAUAACCCAUGCUUUAAUAAUUUCCCUUUAAUUGUCCCUCCAAAAUUCCUAUAAAUACACCCCCAAUUAUUCUUCACUUUCAAUUCAUUCCUCAAUCAAACAUAUAUCCAUCCCAUUGUCUUUUGUGCAGCACUCAUCAGUGAGCAGAGCAUUCUCAUUCACUCGCACACAGGAGAAAAAUGUCGGCAAGCCUCAGGUGUACUUCCCUCUUGCUCCUCCUUUCCUUGCAUCUUUUCAUCACUUUCUCUGACAUGGCUGAGGUAUAUAUCUACUAAGCUUAACCUGAAAUCCUUUCUGUAUAACUAAUUUAAGCUAAAAUUCUCUACGUAUCUGCACUGAUCUAUGAGCUAUUGUUGUUUGUAUCUAUGAACUUUAAACAGGGUGCUAAGUUUCGUGCUUCAGGUAUGUUGAGAUAUCUUCGAGUAUAAAUUGGUGUGAGUUUAAGUUGAAAAAUAAUUAAGAUUAAUUAAUUUAGUUUUGUGACACAAACAGAUUGCAAACCAAAAUGUACAUAUCGUUGCUCAGCAACAUCACACAAGAAGCCUUGCAUGUUCUUCUGCUUGAAGUGCUGCGCCAAAUGCCUAUGUGUUCCUCCUGGAACUUAUGGUAAUAAGCAAGUCUGCCCUUGCUACAAUAAUUGGAAGACCAAGGAAGGAGGUCCCAAGUGCCCUUGAGCACUAUGCUUUCACAAUAUCUUAUCAAUAAAAUACAUGUAGCCUCUACCUUUGUUGUUUAUUUUUAUUUUUAUUUUUA